This 70-nucleotide transfer RNA is filed under the name Camelus bactrianus (Bactrian camel). It matches the Rfam family "tRNA". Rfam says of the family: Transfer RNA (tRNA) molecules are approximately 80 nucleotides in length. Their secondary structure includes four short double-helical elements and three loops (D, anti-codon, and T loops). Further hydrogen bonds mediate the characteristic L-shaped molecular structure. tRNAs have two regions of fundamental functional importance: the anti-codon, which is responsible for specific mRNA codon recognition, and the 3' end, to which the tRNAs corresponding amino acid is attached (by aminoacyl-tRNA synthetases). tRNAs cope with the degeneracy of the genetic code in two manners: having more than one tRNA (with a specific anti-codon) for a particular amino acid; and 'wobble' base-pairing, i.e. permitting non-standard base-pairing at the 3rd anti-codon position. Lineage: Eukaryota; Metazoa; Chordata; Mammalia; Artiodactyla; Camelidae. RNAcentral also lists the same sequence under 2 other names. The record is from Rfam by way of RNAcentral.
GAGGGUAUAGCUCAGUGGUAGAGUGGAUGUAGCAUGCAUGAGGUCCUGGGUUCAAUCCCCAGUAUCUCCA